CAAUAGCGUAUAUUUAAGUUGCUGCAGUUAAAAAGCUCGUAGUUGGAUUUCGGGUGGGAAUGGCCGGUCCGCCGUUUCGGUGUGCACUUGCUACGCCCACCUUGCUGCCGGGGACGUGCUCUUGAGUUCACGCUCGGGACACGGAGUCGGCGAGGUUACUUUGAGUAAAUUAGAGUGUUCAAAGCAGGCCUACGCUCUGAAUACAUUAGCAUGGAAUAACACGAUAGGACUCUGGCCUAUCUUGUUGGUUUGUAGGACCGGAGUAAUGAUUAAGAGGGACAGUCGGGGGCAUUCGUAUUUCAUUGUCAGAGGUGAAAUUCUUGGAUUUAUGAAAGACGAACUACUGCGAAAGCAUUUGCCAAGGAUGUUUUCAUUAA
This 377-nucleotide ribosomal RNA is filed under the name uncultured eukaryote. RNAcentral describes it as "partial 18S ribosomal RNA". It matches the Rfam family "Eukaryotic small subunit ribosomal RNA", at positions 592 to 976 of the family's 1831-position model. The record is from RNAcentral.